RNAcentral lists this non-coding RNA (389 nucleotides) under Aspergillus nomiae NRRL 13137. RNAcentral describes it as "Aspergillus nomius NRRL 13137 Bacterial small subunit ribosomal RNA". It matches the Rfam family "Bacterial small subunit ribosomal RNA", at positions 744 to 1184 of the family's 1533-position model. Lineage: Eukaryota; Fungi; Ascomycota; Eurotiomycetes; Eurotiales; Aspergillaceae. The record is from Rfam by way of RNAcentral.
CGUUGAGGGACGAAGGCUUGGGUAGCAAUAAGGAUUAGAUACCCUAGUAGUCCAAGCAGACAAUGAUGAAUGUCAUAGACUAGAGAUAUAUUUAGUCUAUAAAUGAAAGUGUAAGCAUUCCACCUCAAGAGUAAUAUGGCAACAUAUAAACUGAAAUCAUUAGACCGUUUCUGAGACCAGUAGUGAAGUAUGUUAUUUAAUUCGAUGACCCGCGAAAAACCUUACCACAGUUUGAAUAAUUUAUUUUUAUAAUUAUUUAUACAAGCGCUGCACGGCUGUUUUUAGUUAAUGUCGUGAGAUCUGGUUAAGUCCUUUAAUUAACGAAAACCCUUACUUUAUUUGUAUAUAAAGUUGUUCGCCGUUAUAUUGGUUAGAUAAUAGGGAUUAAG